GCCCCGGCGUUCCGGGACCGGUUGGCCGGAGCGGCGCUGCGCGGGCCGGACGGGGUCGGCGGGGCCGGGUUCGACGCCCCGGCGGGGGCGCC
Molecule: transfer RNA, 92 nt
Filed under: Micromonospora sp. NBRC 101691
Lineage: Bacteria; Bacillati; Actinomycetota; Actinomycetes; Micromonosporales; Micromonosporaceae
Description: tRNA-Arg
Source: RNAcentral